UCAGAGAGGAGCUAAAGGUCAAAGAGUUUCAAGGCAUUUGAUGAUAACUUAUGAUGGGGUAAAGCCGUAAAGGUUAUGUCCAGUGGACUGCCUUUAUCUCAGGGCAAGGUUUAGGUGGACUGAUUUGGUCAUCUUCUUGCAACAUCGGUAACGUCGUCCUUUUACUCCGUCAAGGUAAUUGCAUGGACUUAAAAUGUUUUCCCUGCUAUGUUGUGUCUGUUACUUUGACAUUGGCUUCCUCAUGAAUUUAUCUUGAAUAGUAGUUCAUUCUAUGAUUUGAUUCUAAUAUUCUAAAAUACAGUCUUUCGAAAACAGUCUCUUUGCCUUCUUGAAGGUAGGGGUAAAGUCUGCGUACAUACUACCCUCCCCAGACCCCAUUUGCGAGAUUACACCUGGUCUGUUGUUGUUGCUGCUUCUAAAAUACAUAUUUGCGUGUGUUGGUAUAAAUGUGAUAAUGAACUAUUAUUGAAAUAUUGUAUACUUCUCUGCCAGUUGAAGUAUGUCAACAGGCAAGCGGUAAUCCAUAGCAUUGUCACAAAUAUCUGUGUUUAUCGUCUUCUUAAUUAGACAAUAUCAUGCUUCUUGCUGUAUAGAAACUAACUUUUACUUAUUUGCCUUUCACAGCAUGUCUUGCUAAACAAAGAAUUACAACCAUACCUUAUGUCGCAGUUCGUAUUAACCUUUGUUCUUAAAGGUAUUCUGAUUGCAUUAGAACUUCUGAUUGAUGCACUUAGUAAUAUUAUGAAUUAAAAUGUUUAACACAUUAGAUUUCACGUAUUU
Molecule: long non-coding RNA, 780 nt
Organism: Nicotiana tabacum (common tobacco)
Lineage: Eukaryota; Viridiplantae; Streptophyta; Magnoliopsida; Solanales; Solanaceae
Source: RefSeq, a predicted model, not a curated record